This 1774-nucleotide long non-coding RNA is filed under the name Monodelphis domestica (gray short-tailed opossum). RNAcentral's name for it is "lncRNA (ENSMODG00000030943.2)". Lineage: Eukaryota; Metazoa; Chordata; Mammalia; Didelphimorphia; Didelphidae. The record is from RNAcentral.
UCUUUUCAUUUUCUUUUUUAAAUAGGAUCAUAGAUGUGAAGCUGAAAGAAAAGUAUAGAUCAGAAUCCCUAACACCUUCAAUUUUCAAGUAAGGAAUCUGAGACUCAGAGCCUUACCCAAAGUCACUCAGCUAAUGAAUAGUAUUAACCAGGACUGGAAUUCAGAUCAUUUGACUCCAAAGUCAACAUUCUCCUACACUAUACCCUGUCUUUGUUCCCUCUUCUAGUGCUUUCUUUACUGAGGCACUAAGGCUUUGUGAGCUGGUUUCCUGUGAUGUCUCUUCAGUACAAUGCAAGGUUCUGUAGUUUGCUAUUCGUAAUCUAACUCUGGCAAAUGUCUUGGGGAAAAUGGGAAGCAAAAGGAAAAUGCGUCUGAGUCAGGCUGAAUGAAUUCUGCAACUCCUGCUGAAGUCAGCCAGAUCUGUGGACAACAGGAUUCACCGCUUUGUCCACAUUUACUGGGAAAUAUAACAAAAGAAGAGGAAAAACCAGUGAAGAUCAGUUUAACCUAUCCAUCAAGGAAGAGAAGAGCCAAGUGGAUGAAGGACAAGAGCCAUUGCACAGGGCCAAAAAAGCAUGAAGCUAAACUGUAUAGUACCAAUUGAGCACAAGGUCAGAGACCAACCAAUCCCGAUGGGGUCGAUGGAAGUUCUAAGCAAAUACAAAGGACUUGAACCUAGUGUGAGACUCAAGGUUGUGACACUUGACAUACGUUAAGACGUAGGCCUUCCUUGUAUCCACACUCUUUGUGAAAAUACUUACAGACAAGUAUCUCAAAUUUGCAUCCUAUCUGGUUCCUAUAAUCUAGUCCAUAUUCUGUCUUUCAUAAUGUGUCAACUUUCUGUAGUUCUGGCUACUAACUGGGUAAAGGCUUAAUUGCUUAUAUCAUUUUAAUUGGUCCAUGAUUCAAGGACCUGUUAGAGAUUUAUGUUUACUUUACUUGGAAUUUUUACACAUAAGACUUUGAUAGUCUAUAUUUCAUCCUGAAAUUAUCUUUUUUAUUUGGAUUUUUUUGAUGUUUUUGAUUUCUCUUACCAAUUGAUUCAUAUACCUCAUAACUCAGCCAUGCAUCCCUAAAUGAUCCCUGUGCUUUCCAAUCACCCUCUUCGGGGGGGGGGGAAUAUAAAAUUAUUAUUAUUUUAAGUUUCAAAGUUUAAAUUCCUUGAGAAAGAAAAUUUAGGUUAAGAAACAUGCUACCUCUAUGAAUCCAGAAACUGAACUGUUUGGAGAAGACACCAUGAAGAUGCCACCACAGACCACAAGCUGCAAUGAGAAGAUCCAGAGUAAACUUUGGGAUGUGGUGAUUUGAACUGUGUGGCUUUGAAUGCAUUUGUUUUUUUAUGUAUACUCUUAUGCCGAAGGGGACUGCCCCCUAACUGGCUUUUUGCCAAUGCGCCUAGCAAUUAUUGGUUUUGUUCUCUUUUCCUCUUAUCCUCAAAUUAUUGUAACUUCCUGGCUGGUAUGUUUAUAAGACCCAUCAGAGAGACUAGUCUUCCUCAGGCCUCAGGGGGAGGAUUGUAAAAAUGGAAAUUUGAACCCUAGACUUCAAUCCCCAAAAGUCCUUGGUAUUUCCCAGAAUUCCCUGUAAUCUCACCUGAGUCUCCACCUGGACAAGAUCAUAAUUAUUAUUUAACAGGCUCUCUACCUCCCAAGUGCUCUCUCAGCUCGGCCAUUGCAAUGAUGUAGCAAGUAAGCUUUGAAUGGGCUAAUCAGCCAAUGGCACAUGGUGUAUUUUCUUUAUUCCUUGAUUUCUAAUAAUCUUUAAUAAACCUCAU